UCACAGCAAGGUUACCAAGAAGCAGAUGGGCUGUGAAGGAGACGAACCCUCUUGUCUAAACACAAAUAGCAUUGAUAAUUAAUUAGCUGAAGCAGCAGGGGAAAUUAUGAAAAUAUGUAAAAGUGUGAAAUUCCAAAGGAAGCACUGAUUCCUUUGUAAAUGCACAUGACAGGAUGCAUCUCAUCUGAUGGCGGGUACCUGCCUCUACCCCGCACCCCCAUCUGAUACACAGCCUCUUCUAGAAGGAGCCAGGGAGAGACGGUGUAUAAUUACUUGUCCGGUGAGGUUUUAAAUUGUGUAACUGUCUAUCUACAAAGGGAACAUGGCCAUUCAUUCUUCCCCAGAAACUAAAGUUAAGGAAACCAAAGAAAUAUUACUGCUUGAUAUCAAUAUGUUAUUUGAUCUAAUUCAAGGAAGAAAUGAAGAAUGAGAUCCUUGGCUGCUACAAUACAAACCUUGAUAUGUUCAUCCCGGGUCAACCAUACACGUUGUUGAUGACAGCUGGACUCCCAACCUUUCUGGACAUCAAUAUUAAUGUUUGCAGCUCCUGGCAGUGGCUGGUAGAGGUUGCAUUUCAUAAUUCAGACAUAAAAAUUAAAAGCAGAGGCACACAGUAGCAGAACCAUCCAUCCAGUUUUUGAUGAAAGCCCUUCAAGGGGCUGGGGAUUUAGCUCAGUGGUUCUGCCAUCUACUUCACAAGCACAAGGUUCUGAGUUCGAUCCCCGAUACCACUCCCCCAAACCCC
Molecule: long non-coding RNA, 745 nt
Organism: Fukomys damarensis (Damara mole-rat)
Lineage: Eukaryota; Metazoa; Chordata; Mammalia; Rodentia; Bathyergidae
Exons: 5
Source: RefSeq, a predicted model, not a curated record